GGGUUCCUUUAGUAAUACCGAGCCUAUUUUCAAACGCAAGGGAUGUAAAGAACUACUACUCAAGGAUUGGCAGGCGCGGCCUCUGUCUCUAGGCCGCGGAGGCAGCAGUGCGGACGCCUGUCCACGGGCCGGCGCGGUCCUGGAGCCAGGGCCUGGGAGCGCCGGCCGCAGGGGUGCGGACGCUCGGAGCCGCUGCGAUUUGGAUCUCACCGCCGGAAGCCGGCCGACAGCACGCCCAGGCCGCUCACGGUCCAGCGGGAAAGGGCAGGAGCACGACGGGAUCCGGGGGAGCCAGAGCCGGAAAGAGCAGGUCCUGCAAGAACGGGUUAGGAACACCCUGGGGCCCGGAGAGGCGCCUGACCCCGCGAAGGCGUGAACGAAGCUGAGACCGCGCCCGGCCGCGCCGGGGUCGGCGGAAAGCACUCUGGGAUUUGCGGCCUGGUUGCGGUGGCACUUCCUCCUUCGCAUCACCUAGCGCGGUGGUUUUCAAUCUAGGCUGCAGAUACAUUUAAAAGAGAUUUCCCGCCCUUAAACAGAGUCCUGGGUUAAUUUAGCCGAGAAGCGCAUUCGUUUUCCCUCCGGGCGGGUUUGUGCAGUGCGUCAUUCCGGCCAGCAGGAGGCAGCAGCACCCAAGGAGCUGCGUGAGGGCUCGCGCGGGGCUGCUCGAAACCUGGGGCCGCGCACCGCGCCCGAGCCGCCUCUGGGCUUCGAAAGCGCGGUGUUUUGUGGGUCUCGUGCCCGGCUGCGGCCGCAAAGCCUGGCCCGUGAGUCCCAGGAGAGCAUGCGGGGUGCAGGCGACGUCGGGCCGACACAGCUGCACCUACCCGAGUGCGGCGGCGGCGGCUCGCUCGUCCGAAAGCGCGGCCCUUCCGGCCGAGUCUUCCUAGCUCAGGACCCGGCACACUGACGCGGCGAGGGGGCUGCAUCCCGCUGCUGACUGGGUCCCGGCCGGCGGUUGUCCGGUGCACGCCGCGGUGAGUUGCUGACCCGAAGUCGCUGCAAUGGGCUGUUGGCCGGCAGUGCUGCUCUUCCCAGGGCCAGCGAGACCCGGGAGGUGACCCAGCUCGGCUGCCUUCCGGGCCGCGGGCACGGCCUGCUAAGCUGGUGGAUGAGCCCACACCGGGAAAGGCUGGCGUACCGCCACGACGGCGACUUGGAUCUUGGCUCGACUCCUUCCAGGCUCACUGGAUGACCCGUGCGGACAGUGAAGUGACAAGAGCAGGCCACCUUGCUAACUAAGGCCACGGGCAUGUGCUGCAUCCACACUGAAGGAUGCUCCCGCUGGCCUCAGCCACAUUACAACCUGAGGGGUGGCGAGCCUUGCAGGCCCGGGGCUCCUCCCUAUGUGUGCAGUAAGCUGGUUUCUCGAGAAGCACACCUCCGAGCAGCGCCGUGCAACAGAAACGGCAUGCAAGCCAGUGUGCAUCUGAAAUCCUCUACUGGCCAUGUUGAAAAAGCAGUAGGUGCAGGCGAAAUGAGUUUUAAUAAGUUUUAUUGAACCCACAUACCCUCAGUAGUAUCAUUUAACAUGAAACCAAACUUUAAAACAUGACUGGAAGGGUCUGAAAUGUGGCACGCACGUCACACUCAGGGGUCUUCCAAUCCGGAGUGUGACACCGAAGUUAAGUGUCUGGAGGUCACACCUGGCUGGUGGCCAUGGUACUGGGCAGUGUUGGUGCAGGGAACUCAAAACAGAGAACCCCAAGUAGACCUGGGCAUUCACCAGAAAGUAACAGGGAGAAUCACGGAAAUGACUACAAGAUGCCACGGCGUUAACCUAAAGACCAAAAUAUCUGCAGAGAGCUGGUCUGGGAAAAGGCUUAAAUGAAAACAAGGUUAAAUUUCGAUUCAAAUAGGCUCUGUUACACAAGAGUAAAACUCACUUAAGGUGGCCCAGGACGUCCUGUGGAGCCAAGAGGUGGCAAGUUCUGGCUCACAUGUUGCUUCUGCAGGUCUAUAGGAUGGGGCUCUGGAGUGAUGAGCCAGGUCUUCCAAAAUCCAUGAAUGACGCAUCUUACCAGCGAUUGCAGACAGCUUUCUGGCAUCCAGACUUUGCACUGUGCUCACCUCUGACGUCCUGUGCACCCCUCGUCCUUGGCCAGUCUGUCCCCCCAGGCAGACACAGAGUGCUCUGCUUGGGACUCACUAAACAGACUCCGUGCACGCCUCUGAGGAGCGGACAGCCCUGCACAGCGAUGGUGGAGCUCUUGCUCAGUGCUGCAUGCCUGGACCUCGAGCCGUGAUCAGCAGUCAGAAGAGCAGCCAUGCUGUGCUGGGUGCUGCCCUGAAGGGCUGUGAAGGGAGGACCUCAGGAGGCUCAGAUUCCUCGCUCUCAAGUCUACUCCGCCCCAUCUGAGCUGAGCCACCCUGUAUGCGAGAGAGUGAUGGACAGCCACACCCAGAGAAGCAAGGGAGAUGGAGCCUGCAGUGAGGGACUAAGAAGAGAAGCAGGAGGCAGUGUGCAGUGACACCUCGCUUCGUGGAUGCUUCCGUCUGUAAACACUUUGCUUUGCAAACAGAACUGACUGGCAAAAUUUUGCUUAUGUUCUCGAACUCCUCAUAGGUGCCAAACAUGACCAUGGCCAUUUUCUGCUCUGACACAUGGUCGUGGCUUCCUCUAGUCGAGAUCGCAGUCACAGAUAGACCUGUGCACACUUGCUGUGAGGCUUUUGUGUGUUUUAGCACAUACAGUACUCUACAGUGUUAUUCAGUCCAGCAUGGCUCCAAAGAAACUGCAGAGGUAAAAAGAGAGUGCAGAGCAAUAAUGAAGGUAACAAGAAAGUGCAGAGCAAGAAUGGCAAGAAGGUUUUGAAGAAAUAACCAUUGAGUUGAAGGACGCUGUGGACAAGCAUGAGCAUGGUAUCCUUAUGACUGAUCUGGCCUCAGAGCACACGAUGGCGAAGUCCACAGCCUCGACUGUCUUGAAGAAUAAAAACACCAUCAAAGGAGCUGACGUGGCCAAAGGAGUAAUGAUGUUAACCAAGUAGAGGACACAAGUGCUGGAAGAGGUGGAAAAGCUUUUGUCAGUGUGGCUGAGUGAGAAUCAGCUGGCAGGUGAUAGUGUUAGGAAGCUAUGGUCUGUGAAAAGCCAGGAAAUUGCACAGCGGUCUACUGUAAGAAAUCCCUCUACACCUCUACAAGUGCAACAGGUGAGGGAUCUAGAGCCUGUAGAGGGUGGUUUGAUAAAUUCUGCAAGGGAAGUGUCUGUGAUAAGACAUGGUGAGGCUUCUGGUUCUGACAAGGCCUCCACAGAAGCCUACAGGAAAGAAUUCGCAGAACUCAUGAAGACAGAAGGAUAUGUCAAGCAACAAGUGUUUAACUCUGAUGAAACAGGGCUUUUGUGGAAGAAGAUGCUGAGCAGAACCUAUGACAUACAGGAGGAAAAGGCACCGCUGGGGCACAAGCCCAUGAAGGACAGACUGACCCUUGUGCCUGUGCGAAUGCAAGCCCCAAUCUGAAGAUUAGGCCACUACUGGUGCACCAUCCCCAGACCCCUCGGCAUUCAAGGGACAGUGUGGACAAGGCCAGGCUGCCUGUCGUGUGGAGGCUAGUGGCGAAGCCUGGGCCACAGGGCAACUGUUUAUGGAAGGGCUGCACAAGGUGUUCUCACCCACCAUUAAGCAAUAUCUUUCUGGCAACCAGCUGCCUGAAGGUGCCUCCUUCAGAUGGACAGAGCCCGGCAACCUCCAGCCUUGGCAGAUGACAUGGACGCUGAGUAUGACUUUAUGACGGUCAAGUUCCUCCCCUACACGACACCUCUUCUGCAGCCUUAGGCCAGCAAAUGACCCAUAACUUCAAGAAGCUGUGCACAGGGUGCUCUUCACCAGGUGUUUUAAUGUCACUGAAGAGACAUCCCUGACUGGAAGAAUUCCAGAAGAAACAUUUCUCCCCACCGCAUCAGGCUCCCUGACACAGCCUGAGAAGAUGUCACGUACCGGACCUUCAACUCAGCCUGGAGGACACCGGCCAGAACGCGUCACUGGGUGUGACUGUGAAGGGUCUGAGGCACAGGUGUGGAGGGAUUGUGCCCACGGGCAAGAGUGUGGGUCUGGACGCCGAUGGUGCAGACGUGGAGGGGACCAAAGGAGGAGCUGACGCGGGAAGCACUUGCUGAACCGCUGAGUGAGCAGCAGAAGGCGCCUGCCGAGGAGCCCUGCGCCGAGAGGGGGCUGGGAGGAGGCCGGCAGUGACGUGACAAACUUCACCCUGGAAAAUGGAACGAGGGCUGGUUCUUGAGAAGCCCCGCCCCGACAUGGCCUCUCAACACAGGCCCUCUCGUUCCCGGGGGUUGCGCAGCACAGGAAAAACACUGACAUUAGAGAGAUUUCUCCCGUCAACACCGACCCUGCAGCUAAGAGAGAAAGAAGAGGACUCCCCCGACGGAGGUCUCCCCAGUGCCUCAUGGAGGGGCCCACCCUCCAAAUAAUACCCUCCUUCCUGUCCUGCGCGCCAGGAGUCUCCAAGCAAGUGCCUUCAGGGCCCCAGUGACGCCGUGGUGACCACGUGCCUGUAACAGAAGUCAGCCCUAGAAGGAAAAUCAGUAGGUCCCACACUUGGGCUCACCGGCUCGGUGGUGAAACCUCACGGCGUAUUCAUAACACCACCUGGAGCACAAGUCCUGGAGAAAGCACAAGUUCUGUAGCCAGCUAUGAAAACCCUACAGGACUCUUCUGAGAAGCAGACACCGGGAGAGUUAGCAUUUCAGAUUUCUUUAUGUCAGUUGCCAUGGUCUUCUACCACACGGCUCCAAGCUUCGUUCCCUACUAUGCCUCCAUGUGUCCUCCAGCUUUCCAAAAGCCUCCCGCCCUUCACGACUGCAGACCUCAGAGGUGCUGCCCCUUCUCACUGGCCACUUGGCUGGGCCGACCGCCAUCCUUGCCCCUGCCUGUGCACGCUCUCUUCAGUCACCAAGACUCAGCUCAGCUCCUCCCUCCUGCACAGGGCCUCCUGGUGAAUCUCCAUCCUGGGAACUACCAAUUUUGUUGGCUGUCUGGUACUCCCCUUUGGAAAACACCACAUCAUUCCUUGCGGUCUUGUUCCACAGAGUUCCUGAAGCUUCUGUGUCCUCAAUAAUUCUCGAGGGCUUAUGUUGUGACUCCUCAUUUAGCCCUAGGACACAGGGAGCAUAUCCCAGGUUCCCUCAGUCCCCUGUCCUGGUGCAGGGCCCUGUACACGGUAGGCGCACAAUAGGUAACUGUCAGUUUGAAUAAUGUUUUUUGUGUUUUAAUCUUUCUCCAGCUGGUGUUACCUGGCUGGGCUGGUGGCCAUGGGACUCAGUCAUCUGGAGGGCAGAGUGGUGCUCAAGGCCGCGGAGUGGUUAGAGCCCUCCAGAGUGAGCUCCAAGGGGAGGGAAGCGAGGGCUCCAGAGGGAACUGGAGCUGAGAAUGGGAACUGAGAGUCCCAGCUUGUGGCCUGAAGGACGAGGCCCUGGCUCUAACUCCCCCGUCCCUGUGGGCCUCAAUCCCUGACAGAGAGUUGAGGGGCUGAGUGUCAGACUCUCCACAGCAACUGCUGACUGACCGUGUUCCCAUCGAGUGACCUGAGUCUACAGGUUGCCUGGGUCCAGAGGCUUCUACAGUGUCACUCAGACCUCGACAAGCAAGUGGAAGGGAGUGAAGCCAUCACAGGAACAACUGCAAAUCUGCUCCCGUUCAUCAAGGGGGGAAUUCCUCCCUCGUUAUUCGUAGUCACAAAGCACGCAUGAUCCGUUCAUGGCUCCACAGCUAUGCCUUCACCAUGUCUGCCAGCUCUUCCAGGGUGCUGGCAUCACCAGGAUCGUCCGGAGGGCCCAGCCACAGAGCGUGGUCAGUAGGACUGGCACAGGGAUCGAGACCCUGCUUCUCUGACGAGUUUCCAAGUGAUGCUGAUUUUGCUGGCCUGGCGGCCACCCUUGAAGAACACUGUUCAGGGUCUCCCUUACUCCAGCCCCCAGCCCUGGUUCCUGAAUCAAAUCUGUCCCUCCCGAGGUGGGCCUGCUUGGGGACUCCAGUGGCUUCACCAGUGGGGUUGCUUGAUGUCCAUCUCAGUCUCCCCCAUUCUUUCAUUGGAAAAAUGGACAACGGAGACUGAGGAAAUGCAGGAAAAAGGUACCAGAGCCACGGGCGAUCGAUGUGGUCGUUGUGACCCCUCACUCCCUCCUGCAGUGAUUCUGCUACAUUCUCUCUGCGGCAUCUGAUGAAGAAUCUGCUGUCGGUUUGAGGACACUACCUGCUACUUCCCAGCCUCUUUUUGGGAUCAACUGGGGAUACUUCAGAUAAGACGCUUCAACUAACAUCGUUACAACAAGGCCUGGCACGUAACAAAUACCCAACACAUUUACUGAGAUGCCGCCCUGGGCUUAGAGAUUGGAAGCCGAGUGCUUACCCCAAAUGUUUGGGCUCGGAUCCUGGCCGUGUUCACUGUCAGCUGCGUGACUUGGGCAAGUUAUCCGAGUUCUCGGUAACUCGGUCUCCUUGCCUGUACACUGGGGUUGAUAAUAACAGUGUGUCCAGGAAAACAGAGAUGAACUGAAUUCCUGUCUGCAAAAUCCUUAUGUCCAUGUCUGCCUCCUAAGAAGCACUGGGGCCUCCACCUUUGGAUCCACUCCAGCUCGAGCAGGAGGGUGCACAAACCAG
Molecule: long non-coding RNA, 6614 nt
Filed under: Heterocephalus glaber (naked mole-rat)
Lineage: Eukaryota; Metazoa; Chordata; Mammalia; Rodentia; Bathyergidae
Description: lncRNA (ENSHGLG00000050503.1)
Source: RNAcentral